UAUAAUCAUCUAGUGGGCUGGAUACUCUGGCUUCUUGACUAGCAUGUGCUUUCCCUACAGGCAGAUCUAAGUGGGAAGCCAAAUUAUCAUCAGAGGGCGGCUUGGUGAGCAUGGAAUCAGGCCAGGGGAGUUCGUUAUGAGAUUUGGCAUUCCUGAGCUUUUUAUUCUUUAUACCAAGCAGCGCUGAGAAGCACAGACUCGCUGACUGUGGCUGGCUGCCUCUGCUCUUGCUGUUCCCUCCGACUUUCCAUUGUUCCCUCGGGUGAGCUACGUGUAAAGCAGGACCCAGCUCAACCACCUCCUCCUCUGGAAAGCCUUGAUCUUCCCCCAGACAGAGGCCAUCAAGAUACAUUCUUCAGUGACAGGAAGGCAGGACCUGCUACACCUGGGUUACACAUCUCAAAGCCAUCAUGCACGGGAGAAGGGUUAUUCCCUAUUGCUGGAUGGAUGCAGCCUUUGCCUUGGAAUCUGGGGAGUGAGACGUGCCCUUUGACCUCAGGCAUACCUGCAACACAGUGUGCUGUGAAAUUGUGUAGGAAGACUGCUUCUCCAUAUUUCUUUCCCUCCUUUAUCCUGUCUCCUCACUGAAGAGAGGAUGCAAACAAAGACGUGCAGGUUUAUAUUAAACAUCUUUGGUGGAUGGCGUGUCUGUCUGCUCUCCUCUCAGCUCCCUAGCAACAGCUAUGUCAUGCUUUUUUAAAGCUUUUCAUGGCAAUUCUAGCAUUUCUGGGAAGAUCUCUCUCCAGGUUUUUUGUCUCUCGGUGUCUUUCCCUCUGCCUGUGUCUGUUUCUCCUUCUCCCCUUUCCUCCCCUGCCUCUCUGUCUCUGUGUCUCUGCGUGUUUCUUUCUCUCUGCUGUGACUUCCCACAUUAGCCACUGUCCAUUUCUUUGAUUCCUUCUUGGCAACAAGAGCUACAGCACCAUUAUGCAGCAAGCAGUCCUGCUUCCCUGCUACCUUAAAAUAAUAAUGUUUCAUGGUGACAAAUGGCUGUAGUGAACAAUGAAGGUAGAAUGCUUAGCAGGCAGGGGUGUAACCGGGUCAGAUUUCUCUGUCUGGCAAAAACCAGAGCGUAUUGUGAGAAUACCUAAAGAAAGAUAUAUAUAUAUAUAUAUAUAUAUAUAUAUAUAUAGGGGAAAGCUGGUGAUAUUUAUUUUUGUUUUUAAACUUUUUCUAUUGGGGUGUAGUCGAUUAACAAUGUUGUGAUCGUUUCAGGUGAUGCUACUGUUUUAUUUUUAAUUUAGCUUCUGUAAAUUGCAAAAGUAAGUUCUCAAAGGCAGAACAAUGGUUAUUCAUAGUUUACUAAGGUUUUGUCAUAAGAAACUUAAAAAAAAAAGAUUUAAAAAUCUUGUUUUACAUUUUCUGUUUUUCUUUGAUUAAAAAAAAAAUCAAAACCCAAAAUAAGAUGGUCUGAAUUGGUGAAGGCAUAUAAUUUUUUUUGUACCCCAGUGGCUGAAGUUUCCACAUUGUAUCAAAAAAGCCCCAAUUAAAGUAAAGAAAAAAAAAAGAAAAUGAUUUUUUCUAGACCUCCUUUCCCUUUCUACCACUAAGGGGAGGAAAAAAAUCCUAAUAUCCAAGAGAUCUU
Long non-coding RNA from Bos grunniens (domestic yak), 1582 nucleotides. Lineage: Eukaryota; Metazoa; Chordata; Mammalia; Artiodactyla; Bovidae. The record is from Ensembl.